AUUGAACGCUGGCGGCAGGCCUAACACAUGCCAGUCGAGCGGAUGAAGGGAGCUUGCUCCUGGAUUCCGCGGCGGACGGGUGAGUAAUGCCUAGGAAUCUGCCUGGUAGUGGGGGAUAACGUCCGGAAACGGGCGCUAAUACCGCAUACGUCCUGAGGGAGAAAGUGGGGGAUCUUCGGACCUCACGCUAUCAGAUGAGCCUAGGUCGGAUUAGCUAGUUGGUGGGGUAAAGGCCUACCAAGGCGAGGAUCCGUAACUGGUCUGAGAGGAUGAUCAGUCACACUGGAACUGGGACACGGUCCAGACUCCUACGGGAGGCAGCAGUGGGGAAUAUUGGACAAUGGUCGAAAGCCUGAUCCAGCCAUGCCGCGUGUGUGAAGAAGGUCUUCGGAUUGUAAAGCACUUUAAGUUGGGAGGAAGGGCAGUAAGUUAAUACCUUGCUGUUUUGACGUUACCAACAGAAUAAGCACCGGCUAACUUCGUG
Molecule: ribosomal RNA, 484 nt
Filed under: uncultured bacterium
Lineage: Bacteria
Description: partial 16S ribosomal RNA
Rfam family: Bacterial small subunit ribosomal RNA
Source: RNAcentral